Molecule: ribosomal RNA, 380 nt
Filed under: uncultured eukaryote
Lineage: Eukaryota
Description: SSU rRNA
Rfam family: Eukaryotic small subunit ribosomal RNA
Source: RNAcentral
AGCUCCAAUAGCGUAUAUUAAAGUUGUUGCAGUUAAAAAGCUCGUAGUUGGAUUUCUGCUCAAGACGACCGAUCCGCCUUCUGGUGUGAUUCUGGUUCGACUUAGGCAUUUUUCUGGGGAACGUAUCUGCACUUGAGUGUGUGGUGCGGUAUCCAGGACAUUUACUUUGAGAAAAUUAGAGUGUUUCAAGCAGGCAUCUGCCUUGAAUACUACAGCAUGGAAUAAUAAUAUAGGACUUCGGUUCUAUUUUGUUGGUUUCUAGAACUGAAGUAAUGAUUAAUAGGGAUAGUUGGGGGCAUUCGUAUUUAACUGUCAGAGGUGAAAUUCUUGGAUUUGUUAAAGACGAACUACUGCGAAAGCAUUUGCCAAGGAUGUUUUCA